UUCUCUUAGCCUGUCUAUCAGCUUUUUAAAGGUGUAGUUCUUUCUCCACUCCUAAUAAAUAUUCUCCUCAGGAAUGUGACUGUAUUGUUUGCAGCUCUAUUUCUGGUCCAUCUCUCUUUCUGAGGCACAUGGGCACCUGUGAGCACUGCACAUCCAGGCCCAGACAUCUAUCAAAAUCUUUUCAGAGACUGUCACUGCCUCCAAGGUCUGUUCACUGUUCUGGGGAAUUAGCUUAUACUCACAGCUAGAACUAAUCCUGCCAAAUUCUUCAAGGAAUUCAGAGCUCCACAAGUUUAGCCCUCUAAUCUCUGCACACCAACAUGCUAUGUGCAACCAAAUUGUGUGCACAAUUUUACAGUAUAUUCCAUCUGAUUGCUUCUUCUUGAGUUGCUUUGCUGUCCUCCGCUUUUAUAAGGAUGCUUUGAUCUGUGGUUUUAGUUCAUAA
RNAcentral lists this long non-coding RNA (445 nucleotides) under Callithrix jacchus (white-tufted-ear marmoset). RNAcentral's name for it is "lncRNA (ENSCJAG00000052903.2)". The record is from RNAcentral. Lineage: Eukaryota; Metazoa; Chordata; Mammalia; Primates; Cebidae.